Long non-coding RNA from Dermacentor albipictus, 395 nucleotides. RefSeq lists it as uncharacterized. The record is from RefSeq and is a predicted model, not a curated record. NCBI's taxonomy places the organism in Eukaryota, Metazoa, Arthropoda, Arachnida, Ixodida, Ixodidae.
AUGCGCGGUACACGGGCUAAUUUGCAUGUCGCCCACAUCGAGAUGCCGCCGCGGCCGGGAUUCGAUCCUACACCCUCGGACUUGGCAUCGCAACGCCAAGAGUCAGAGAGAACUGCGGGGCAUCGUGGACGGAAUGAGCGGAGUGAUUCGAGGGCUGACAGAUGGAGUGCUGGGGUACCUGGCCGACUGCGAGGCGUCCGAAGCAUCCGAAGCCCUGCGGAACAUCGCCUACGCGCUGAGGAACACAUGAUGACGCCCCUGCAAAACUUGUGGGGACGCUCGACUCUCACGCGUGCCCUGAUGUUGUUUUCCCCGCAUGGCUCUCGCGUCUCCUGUAAUCCGGCUUCCGCGCGUAGUCGUGCACCGCCGGCGGUCGGUGUAGUUCCAGACAAGUA